CCUACGGGGGGCAGCAGUAGGGAAUCUUUCACAAUGGGCGAAAGCCUGAUGGAGCAACGCCGCGUGCAGGAUGAAGGCCUUCGGGUUGUAAACUGCUUUUAUAAGCGGGAAAUAUGAUGGUAACUUAUGAAUAAGGAUCGGCUAACUACGUGCCAGCAGCCGCGGUCAUACGUAGGAUCCGAGCAUUAUCCGGAGUGACUGGGUGUAAAGAGUUGCGUAGGUGGCAUAAUAAGUAGCUAGUGAAAUCUGGUGGCUCAACCAUUCAGACUAUUAGCUAAACUGUUAAGCUCGAGACCGUUAGGGGUAACUGGAAUUUCUAGUGUAGGAGUGAAAUCCGUAGAUAUUAGAAGGAACACCAAUAGCGUAGGCAGGUUGCUGGGACGGUUCUGACACUAAGGCACGAAAGCGUAGGGAGCAAACGGGAUUAGAUACCCCUGUAGUC
This 442-nucleotide ribosomal RNA is filed under the name uncultured bacterium. RNAcentral's name for it is "partial 16S ribosomal RNA". It matches the Rfam family "Bacterial small subunit ribosomal RNA", at positions 338 to 795 of the family's 1533-position model. The record is from RNAcentral.